Small nuclear RNA from Pieris brassicae (large cabbage white), 89 nucleotides. The record is from RefSeq and is a predicted model, not a curated record. NCBI's taxonomy places the organism in Eukaryota, Metazoa, Arthropoda, Insecta, Lepidoptera, Pieridae.
GUGUCAAUUAAAAGGAGAUACUUUUAGCACUCCCCUUGACAAGCAUAGAACUCAAAAAAUGGUUAAGGUAAAUCUUAACUACAUUUUGC